Molecule: ribosomal RNA, 406 nt
Filed under: uncultured bacterium
Lineage: Bacteria
Description: partial 16S ribosomal RNA
Rfam family: Bacterial small subunit ribosomal RNA
Source: RNAcentral
AUUGAACGCUGGCGGCAGGCCUAACACAUGCAAGUCGAACGAGUGGCGGACGGGUGAGUAAUGUCUGGGAAACUGCCCGAUGGCGGGGGAUAACUACUGGAAACGGUAGCUAAUACCGCAUACCAUCGGAUGUUCCCCGAUGGGAUUAGCUAGUAGGUGGGGUAACGGCUCACCUAGGCGACGAUCCCUAGCUGGUCUGAGAGGAUGACCAGACACACUGGACCGGAGACACGGUCCAGAAUCCGACGGGAGGCAGCAGUGGGGAAUAGUGCACAAUGGGCGCAAGCCUGAUGCAGCCAUGCCGAGUGUAUGAAGAAGGCCUUCGGGUUGUAAAGUACUUUCAGCGAGGAGGCGUUACUCGCAGAAGAAGCACCGGCUAACUCCGUGCCAGCAGCCGCGGUAAUUC